GACCACUUCGUCAAUGUUGAAUUACUUUGUUAUAAUGUCACUAGUUUUAAUGUCAUUAGUUUUGUUAUAAUGUCACUAGUCCUUGGUUUUCCAGUUUCCUGUUGCCAUCUUGACUGUUUCAGUAGUAUUUGCUUCAGGAUUCCCUGACUGUCGUAUACUAUGUUCUACAAAACUGGAUCCGUAACCAAUCUUUGUGGAAUUCCUGCAUGUAGAUUUCCUUCCACAAUAAUUGACUGCGUACAAGCCUUAUUGAUUUACAAGGUUUCCGCAAUCUUCAUUAUUCGACAAGCAGUGUUAUACUACAUACCACCGUACCACGUUGCCUCUUGACAUCGUUCUGGCUGUCUAUUUCGCUUAUGCGCUAGUUUUAACUUGUUCAAGUGCACUGUUCGCAGAAUCCCUUUCACUUCAAUCUUGACGUUUUGAUUUUGCAAAGUUUCUAACACUUUAUGCGGUCCUGUAUAUUGAUCAGAGAAUUUUCCUUUGCUAGGUUCCUUCAGUAGAUAUACCAGGUCUCCUAUUUUGAAAUUUUGCGGGUUGAUACGUCUGUCGUAAUAUUCCUUUGACUUUAACUUGGAUUUCAUCAAAUUUUCUCUUUCCUUUUGUUGUACGGUGUUGAUUUUAUCGAACAGAUCUCUGAGAUAUUCUGCAUAUGUUGGUUCCAUGUUCUCUUCGAUUAUCAUUUCGCCAGUAGGUUCUCUGGCCAAGUGCCCAAAGACUAAUUCGUGCUGGGAGAAUUUCGUUCCUUCGUGUACAGAGGUGUUAUAAGAAAACAUGGCUAAUUCCACCCGUUUGUCCCAGUUUCUGGAGUUUUCAAUGUACAAUUUGAGAUAUUCUGUUAAUACAUGGUGAGAUCUUUUGAUUGAACCAUUGCUUUGUGGAUGGUUUUAUGCGAAAUCUCUUUGCUACUUUCUUCAGUAGCGAGGAUGUAAAGUUCAUUCCCUGGUCGGUAAGAAUGACUCUCGAUAACCCGAAUUGGCAAAUAAAUUGUUUUAUGAAAGCGUUAGCUAUCUCGGUUGAAGAGAUUCCUUUGAUUAGAAUUCCGAGCGAGUACUUGGUUAAUAAAUCUUGAAUCGUCAGUAUAUAUUCGUUUCCCUUUUGUGUCGUUGGCAAUGGACCGACGAUAUCCAUACUAGUUUUGUCGAAAGCUUUACCUGGUGUAUCUGUGAGCAGCAUUGGUUGUUUUGUUUUUAUUGUUGUUAGUUUCUUUAACUUCUUUCUUCUACGCUCUUUACAAGUUCUUACAUAUUCUUGAAUCUCUUUCUUCAUGUUUUCCCAAUAAUAGUCUUGUCGUAUUCUUUGUUAAGUUUUUGUUACUCCUUUGUGUCCUGCUACGCAUGAUUCGUGUUUCUCUCGUAUUAUGUUAUUUCGCGCUUCCACUGGUGGGGUGAUUAUUUCCUCGGUACAGAUGGUGAUAGUUAUGGUUUUUUCCAUAAAUACUUCCUUCAAUUUCCUGAUUGUGUGUUACCAGGGUAUUUCUUCCAAAUUUCCUUUGCUAAUGUUAAAGGACGUUAAUUGGUUUUCGUUUACUACAUCCAGUAAGAAUCUCAAUGAAUUUAGUAAAUUUUCUGGCAUUAUAGGAAUAUUUCGGUCUUCCUUUACCGGUAGGGAUACGAUGUAUUUUCCGGAAUCUUGAUUCAAUCUUGCUCUUUACAACAUUAGAUCUUCAUAAUGCGGCAGUUUCCCUGCUUCCUUCAUUUCUAAGGCUCCUAUAUCUAACGGAGUACCCUGUAUAUUGACGAAUAUUACUUUAUGAUCAUUCACUCUCGUAACUGAGUCUCGCGUUUCCGAAAUUUUUAGUUCCGCAAGUACCGUCUUGCGUCUUCUCGUUGCCGAAUUGGUUCGGAGUCUGCCAUAGAAGGCUCUUCUUCACUUGUUGUAUCGAUGUCCUCUAUUUCUCGAUUGGCUACUUCCUCGUUUAUGUUUACAUUGAUUUCGGCUAAUGCUUGGUCAAAAUAUUUUACGGGUGUUUUCUCUAUGGUGAGAUGCUUUUGAAUAAAGGCUUUUCUUUGUUUUCUCGGAUCAUAGAACUGAGGCAAGACACGUGGUUUAGCUUAGAAUAUCGGAGAGUCCUCGGCUGAGGUAUCUAAUUGAAAUCUUUUUAAAUGUGGAUAUCGAUCUGGCGAGUCUUCUCGCUUCCUGAUUGGCAGGCACAUCUCUGUGGGGUUUCUAGACAAUGCAUCUGCAUUUGCAUUUGUUCGUCUUUCUUUGUAUUGGAUAUCGAACUCGAAGUCUGAUUUCAGUUUUCAAUUCCAAAUUCUCGAUGUGGGUUCCUUAAUGGAAUUCAUCCAUACUAACGGUUUGUGAUCAGUUACUAUAAUAAAUUUCCUUCCAUACAGGUAUGGUCUGAAAUGCAUCGCGCAAUAGACGAUUGCUAGACAUUCCUUUUCUAUGGUAGAAUAGUUUUGUUCUGCGGGGUUUAGUAGUCUAGAGGCAUACGCGAUUGGCAAAUCCUUUCCAAUCGGUCCCUGACUCAAUAUUCCGCUUAUUGCGUAACCUGAUGCGUUUGUCAUAAGGUUGAAGGAUUUGGAAAAAUCCGGAUAUUGUAGAAUAGGUUUUGUGGUUAAUGCUGUUUUUAAAUUGUUGAAAGCAUUUUCUUGAUUUUUCAACCAUUUAAAGGUGAUGUCUUUCUUCAGUAGUUGCGUUAAUGAUUUUGCAAUUUUGGAGAAAUUAGGUAUAAAUCUUCUAUAGUAUCCUGCUAGUCCCAGAAAUUGCUUGAUAUUCUUUGCUUUCUUUGGUCGUGGAAAUUUCGAUACUGCUUCGAUCUUCUUUGGAUCUGGUUUUACACGAUCUUCACUGGUUAUAUGCCCCAAAUGGCUUACUUUAUAUCGUAGGAAUUCGCAUUUAUCAGGCUGUAAUCGUAAUCUGGCUUGCCUUAAUCUUUCCAUUAAUUUGUUUUACUUUCGUGUUUAUGAAGAGAUCUUGAAUAAAUCACUAUGUUAUCUAGAUAGAUGAAUAGUUCUACUCCUUACAAUCCUGAUAACACUGAGUUCAUCAAGCGUUGAAAUGCCGCUAGAGCAUUUUUUAAUCCAAAAGGCAUUCUUUUGAAUUGAAAGUGUUGAGAAUGCAGUCUUGUGGGCAUCCUCCUGUGCCAUUCGGAUCUGGUGGAAGCCUGAUGCCAAAUCAAACGUGGAAAAAUAUUUUGCACUUCCCAAUUGAUCCAAUAUUUCUGUAAUGUUGGGGAGCGGAUAAGCAUCGCCAAUUGUUUUAUCAUUAAGUUUUCUAUAAUCAAUACAGGCUAAUCUCCAAUGUUUGCUUCCUUGCGAGUCUGGUCUCUUCGGCACAAUCCAUAACGGAGAAUUGUAUAGAGAUGUCGAUGGUUCUACGACAUCAGUGUCCAGCAAUUCUUGAAUUUGACGAUUUAUAUCUUUUUGACGUGCAUGUGGGUAACGAUACUGUUUAAUAUAGAUCGGCUAGAAUUUCGGUUCCUUCCAACGUGUCUCCUGGAAUAUGAAAUCUAUCUUGAUUCCUCCGAAUUAAUUCUUCGACGUUUUUUUUUUUUGUCCUCUUUGUUCAAGUGUUCGAGUCGUAAUAAUUCAAUUAUUUUGUCGAAUUUAAUUUCUUUCGAUUUUAAAAUUGCAUUGCACGUCAUGUUAGGGAGCGAUGUAAGGUUUUCAAAUUUUUUAAUUACCAUUGUAGGUGUGAUAAAUUCGUAAUCUCUCGAUGUGCUAUUUAUUAUUCUCAUAUAACGUCGUCCCUUACGGUUUCUCAGAACUGCAUUACCAAAAUAGUAGACUCCCUUGAUUGGCUCAAUUUUGGGAAUAAAUCCCUCUUUUAUCUCCGGAUUUGCGAUGUUAAUUGAACACGGUACCGAAUUUCGUUUCGGCACGAUUAUCUUUUCUCUUGUAUCGAAGGGGAUAUAAAUAUUUUCCCACUUGAUAUGCUUUCGCUCGUAAUCCAAAUGAGUCUUGUAUCCUGCGAAAAAUUCGGAUCCUAGGAUUCCGUCUUGAUCGAUCAGCAAUGAGUCAUCAACUACAUAAAAAAUAACUGGGCGGCCCGCAACCUGUAUUACUGUCUGCCCUGGGGUGACCAGGCUCGUUGGUGUAAUUCCUUGAACUUCAAUUGAUUCUUGCUCGUUGAUACUCGCUGAAUUGAGUAAAGCAGGUUUCUUAAUGUUAUUGAUUUCUGAUCCGGAGUCUAAUAAUAAACUUGUCUUGGUUUUUAGAUCUGGGGAGACUAUUCGUGCAGUUGGAGUACUUGGAGGAUCGUUUAGUUUUACUGAAAUAACCCAGAGGGGUCGUCAUCUGAAUCUGAGUCCGACUCUUGGUGAUUCUUCUUCGUCUACUCUUCUCGUAUUUUCUUUUCCUUCUGGUUUUGAAAUUCUUGAUCCUCCGCUUGUUUCUUCGCGUGGCUGCAGCAUGGUUUUCCCACAGUAUUUAUUUUUUGGUUUUGCAGCAGGCAUUGUAUUCGUUCUGUUCCUCGCUAUAGGUGCUGGUCUUCUUGUCACCGCCUGUACUCUUGGGCGAUUUAGAGCAUCGUUCCUUCGAGGCUCACCUCGUUCUCCCGAAGGACGUGCUCGAUUUCCCGAUUGUCCCGAUGCAUAGGGUAUGAUUAUUCCAGCGUCUACUCAGGCUUUGAAUGUGUAACAAUCUUUUAUUAAAUGCCCAGGUUCUUUGCAAUAGUUAUAUAGUAUAGUAUUUUGUCUCGGAGCGUUUGGACGAUUGUACGACGGCGACGGCGGUAUAAAUCUUCGAUCCUGGCGGUUGUUUCCGAUGUUGUUAUUAUUGUACGGGGGACGAACAUUGUUACGAUUGUAAUUAUUCGGAGGUGUCGGACGUUGGUAUCGCGUUCUGUCGUUUACUCGUUUUAAUUCCUGUGUUGUUUUAACGGCUUGGUGAUACGCGUUUUCUAAGGAAUGGUAUCCUGCUACUUUUACUCGUAAAUACACCUCAUUUGGAUGUAUUCCCUUCCCUUAACGAAGGCCUCCCUUGUGUCCCAGUCUAUUGUAUCUUGGAUGUCUCGGGAUAAGAUGCCGUGCUCACAUCUUUCUCUGUCCAUUAUUGCCAACCUAAGAUUUCUGACGCGAUCCAUAUAAUCUAGUAUGUCUUCCCCUGGUCGUUGGAAUAUCGUUGCUAAUUCACCUUUAUAUUCGUUAACAGUUUUUCCUGGGCCGAACAUAUCUUUUAAUUUGUUCCCGAAAUCGUUCAGACUUUCUACCUGACUGUCUUUUACGGCGAGGAACGCGUAUCCGCGAAACUUAUUCAUUAGUAAUUUUACCAGUUGAGGCUCUUGAUUCCUUGGAACCAUAUUUCACGCGCGCUCACAUGCUCUUAAAAAUUGGAAUAUUGAUGGUCGGUAUCCGUCGAACACUGGUACCGACUCGAUCGCGUCUUUUAACUUAAUCUGUUGUGAAUUACCCUUUGUCAGUAUUGUCUCUUACUGGGUUAUUGACGGUAGUACAGGUGUCUCGGUUUUUUUCUUUGCCUUGAGUGAAUGCACGUCGUCUUCUAAUUCACUGGGUUUUUCGUUUAUGUCGGUCAAUAUGCGCAAUUUUGCAUCCCAUUCUUUCAAUUUUUCUGACAAUGUCAAUAUCAUGUCCUCGUUCAAUGAGUCUAGUGCGGUCGCCAUAUUUUCUAUUUAUAUUUUGUCAAUAACCGUAAGAACUUUAAUCCUCUGUGAAGCGUAUCCCACUGCUGCCACCAAAAAAUAAUUGUUAAUGUUACGUUUUCAAUUUGAUUGCCGUUAAAUUUAAUCGAAAAGGAAUGAUAGUAUUUGAAGUACAAAUUUGAAAUUCUCGACUCAUACGGUAGUUACUGCCACCAGAAAUAGUCUAAGGACUAUUUCAAAAAAUUUUUUUCUUUAUUAUUUAUAUAUAUUAACGCUAGUUAACGCUACCCACAAACAUAUAAGUUAUUGAAUAAAAGACCAAGAGAAUACAACGAUUUGGAAUAUAUAUAUGUCGGGGGG
Molecule: long non-coding RNA, 5907 nt
Organism: Bombus terrestris (buff-tailed bumblebee)
Lineage: Eukaryota; Metazoa; Arthropoda; Insecta; Hymenoptera; Apidae
Exons: 3
Source: RefSeq, a predicted model, not a curated record